RNAcentral lists this ribosomal RNA (540 nucleotides) under uncultured bacterium. RNAcentral describes it as "partial 16S ribosomal RNA". It matches the Rfam family "Bacterial small subunit ribosomal RNA", at positions 355 to 885 of the family's 1533-position model. The record is from RNAcentral.
UGGGGAAUAUUGCACAAUGGGCGCAAGCCUGAUGCAGCCAUGCCGCGUGUGUGAAGAAGGCCUUCGGGUUGUAAAGCACUUUCAGCGAGGAGGAAGGUGGUGGACUUAAUACGUUCAUCAAUUGACGUUACUCGCAGAAGAAGCACCGGCUAACUCCGUGCCAGCAGCCGCGGUAAUACGGAGGGUGCAAGCGUUAAUCGGAAUUACUGGGCGUAAAGCGCACGCAGGCGGUUUGUUAAGUCAGAUGUGAAAUCCCCGGGCUCAACCUGGGAACUGCAUUUGAAACUGGCAAGCUAGAGUCUCGUAGAGGGGGGUAGAAUUCCAGGUGUAGCGGUGAAAUGCGUAGAGAUCUGGAGGAAUACCGGUGGCGAAGGCGGCCCCCUGGACGAAGACUGACGCUCAGGUGCGAAAGCGUGGGGAGCAAACAGGAUUAGAUACCCCUGGUAGUCCACGCUGUAAACGAUGUCGAUUUUGGAGGUUGUGCCCUUGAGGCGUGGCUUCCGGAGCUAACGCGUUAAAUCGACCGCCUGGGGAGUACGG